RNAcentral lists this ribosomal RNA (260 nucleotides) under uncultured archaeon. RNAcentral's name for it is "partial 16S ribosomal RNA". It matches the Rfam family "Archaeal small subunit ribosomal RNA", at positions 748 to 1008 of the family's 1478-position model. The record is from RNAcentral.
CAGCCGUAAACUAUGCGCGUUAGGUGUACUGGUGACCACGAGUCACCGGGGUGCCGAAGGGAAACCGUGAAACGUGCCGCCUGGGAAGUACGGUCGCAAGGCUGAAACUUAAAGGAAUUGGCGGGGAGCACCACAACAGGUGGAGCCUGCGGUUUAAUUGGACUCAACGCCGGGAAGCUCACCGGAUAGGACAGCAGAAUGAUUGCCGGGCUGAAGACCCUGCAUGACUAGCUGAGAGGUGGUGCAUGGCGUCAGUGACU